GUCCAAGAAAACUCCUAUAUUUUAACUAAUAUUGCUUUAUGCAUCUCUAAUGAUGGUGACAUCAAGCAGUCUGAUGUUAAAAGUCCUUCUAACGCUAUAAACGCAUUAAAAUGGGAACGCAGGGCUUCAAUGUGUGAAAGAGAGAAAGGAACCCUCACACACAAUAAAGUGACACUAAGAGCAAACACAUGUCUGCCACCCAAGAGUGACCUCCAUGACCAGACAAAAUCUGACAACAUUUAGUGUAUGGAUAGCAACAGAUUGGACUAAGAAUCCGCAUGUCAUCUUUGAAUUUUCUUCCUCCAUAAGGACUCUCUUUAGGC
Molecule: long non-coding RNA, 323 nt
Filed under: Elaeis guineensis (African oil palm)
Lineage: Eukaryota; Viridiplantae; Streptophyta; Magnoliopsida; Arecales; Arecaceae
Description: long non-coding RNA (EGUI_LNC026207)
Source: RNAcentral